CUGAAAUUCAAAUUAACCUGAGCAUCCUGCAUUUUUAUGUAUUAAACCUAAUAUCCUUACUAAAAGAUGACUAGGUGCCAGGCACUCUACUAAGAACUGAGCAUGGGACACAAAAUAGGCCCAGUCAUUUUCCUUGUGGCAUGUCCAAUGACUGAGGCAGGCAUUAAUGGAAAUACUGCCCAGGUGACUCUAACUAGGGUAUUGUGAUAAUUUCUUAGGGAGGAAAAGUACAGUGCUCAAUAGCGGGACCUAACCUGGGCUGGAGGACUAGUGAAAGUUCCCCAAGGAAAGGAUAUUUAGAGAUCUGAGGUUCAGGGAGGAUUUAAUUAAAUAAAUAGAAAGGGAGGGGGACUUUGGGGGGCAGAAAGGGCAAUAUUUGUGAAAUGAUUUUUAGGUAGGAGGAAUUUUGGGAAUUACGGUCUGCAGGGGAACAGGGAGCAGUGUUGCUGGACCUCAGAGAGAGAGAGAAAGAGAGGAGAGGCUGGAGGGGUGGGCAAGGGCCAGGACAAACAGGGUCCUGCAGGUCGUGCUUAGUGCACCCGGCUUUAUUCUAGUUAAAUGCAAAGUCAUUGAGGGGCUUAAAGUAGGGCUUGAGAAGAUCAGGUUUCUAAAAGGUCCCCUGUUUAGUGGUGAAGAGUUUGGGACCUGGGAAGAACUAGGGGACCUGCAACCCAGAUAAUAAAUGAUGGUGACUUGGACCAUCAUCCGUCGGUCCUGGCCCAGGGCUGAGGAGAGAGAAGAUUUGAAUGCAGUGUCUUUCCUGUUUCCUUAGGCUGUCAGCCUUUUCUCCUUCUCGUACCGAACUGAUCUUUUCACGCGGCCACCCAGUUUCUCAUGGGGAGACCUACAACUGAAACCCAGGUAUUCUAAGUCUCAAUACCUGCUCCUCAUGAUUGUUCGCUUAGUAUUUUUUCCCCACAUAGUCACUGUGUGCAUCAAGCUGUUUGAUUUCUGAAACUCUGGGCUUCUCCCUUUGGGGAUGAGAGCAUUCAUGGCAUUCACAGUCUCUGGUAACAUACAGUACCCGAGAGGAAAAACACCAUCAUUUGUUUAACCUGCGAGAUCAUUUUUUGUCAUGUAUUGGUGUCUAUAAAGAUUUUAAGAUGAUGUGACAUAGGAUAUACAUGUUUUAGUGAACUACCAGGUUCAAAAUUUUCUUUAGGGAUUUUUAGUUUCACUUUGUACCCUGUAUGAAACUUCCCUUCAUAGGCACCUGCAGGCUGGUAACCGAUGCUUUCCUGCAGCUCCUGUGGCGGGGAGAGCUCGCUGUGCCUACUGCCGCAGUAGUGGAGCGCACUCAACAGAUCCAGGGGGGCCCUAGAUGCCCUGAGCCCAAAUCAACUUCCUGGCAACGCCAAACGCUGACUUCAUUCCGCCUCCAAGACACGCUGAAUGAGCCCACUUCUUCUUCCAUGCUGCAGCGAUUUUUUUAAAAAGACAUUUGAACAUGGGUCCUGUACAAUUCCACUUGACCCGUGAGCCUCUCUCAUUCUUUGUGGGCACCUUCCCCGUCAGUUUCUUUCACCCAGGAACUAGCUCUCCAGUGAGGGGUCCUUUCUUGGAUUGACGACCAUUAAAGGGAAGUAAAUGUGCUGACAGGUAAGAUCCGGGGCAGGAUAUUUGCUGGGACGCUCCGGGAGGUCAAUGCAGGAAUACUUCAGUUUCUGAAAAUUAAAUUGGGUUUUACUAAUGGCUUGAAUUUCCUAUGGACAGAGAGAGUGGAAAGUAAUGCAAGGAAAGGAGAUUUCAAUCAAACACUUGAUAGACUCCCCCAGUGGAUUGAGCCCCACAUGGUGCCUCCGUGCCCAGGUGUGCUGCUGUUGAAGCCAUAAUCGGGCCCCCUCCCCGCUGAGGUAGCCAGAAGGUGUUUUUUAAUCUAAUGCAAGUGUAAUUAAAUCCUUUUUCAUCUUGAGGAGAACCGUUUGCUUGGAGGGUUCUCACAGAGCAAAAAUUCUCUGAGUUUGCCGUUGAACUGUGCCAUUUUACCAGUCUGAUGUCGGGCAUGGACUUCACCUCUCCAAGCCUCAAUCUGCUCAUUUAUAAAAUGGCACUUUGUCCUGUUGGCUUGGUGGAAUCCCUGUUGUGUGGACACCCUUCCAGCUCGUUUUCACCUGGUCAGCCCAACUCUACCCGGAAAAAUUAUCUGUGACAUUAGUUCUUUGGAAGAGUCCCCGGACUUCCUGACCCCACAGACUAGAAUAGGUCCCCACUGAGGUGCUGCCACAGCUCGUCAUGUCUUCCUUCUUGUAGGACUCCUGAUACCUCGGGCUGUGUGCUUAGUUCUCCAUCCCUUCAGGACUGCAGGGACUAUGAGAGGAGGAAGCAUAUCCACCCUGUCUCCCACCUCGGCCAGUGUCUGGAACCCACUUACUUUUGCCAAUUGAUAUCCUUCCCUUGCCUGCUGCAGAGAACCACUGGCUUCCAUAAAUCACCUUCCAAAGUCACAGGUGAAGGCCAUGUUAACCCCUGCUUUGAUGGAAGCUUCCGUGGCAACAACGG
Molecule: long non-coding RNA, 2499 nt
Organism: Manis pentadactyla (Chinese pangolin)
Lineage: Eukaryota; Metazoa; Chordata; Mammalia; Pholidota; Manidae
Exons: 3
Source: RefSeq, a predicted model, not a curated record